GAAUGAUCUAUUGAAUGAAGCUGAUUGAGUUCCUUGUAAAUAAGGAAAGUACGUUGUUGC
RNAcentral lists this ribosomal RNA (60 nucleotides) under Rhodosorus marinus. RNAcentral's name for it is "partial Bacterial small subunit ribosomal RNA". The record is from RNAcentral. Lineage: Eukaryota; Rhodophyta; Stylonematophyceae; Stylonematales; Stylonemataceae.